Non-coding RNA from Neophaeococcomyces mojaviensis, 130 nucleotides. Lineage: Eukaryota; Fungi; Ascomycota; Eurotiomycetes; Chaetothyriales. The record is from the annotation of a GenBank genome assembly.
GGUGGUAUGGUGUAGAGGUAGCACGUAACGUUGUGGUUCACAGCCUCAACGUCCUCCAAUCAUACUGAUAGAGGGCGGUGAUUCAAUCCCGUUCCGACCCCGGUUCGAGUCCGGGUACCGGUUAGUACCA